GCCCAGGUAGCUCAGUCGGUAGAGCAGCGGACUGAAAAUCCGCGUGUCGGCGGUUCAACUCCGUCCCUGGGCACCA
This 76-nucleotide transfer RNA is filed under the name Deltaproteobacteria bacterium RBG_13_61_14. Its description in RNAcentral is "tRNA-Phe". It matches the Rfam family "tRNA". From Rfam's summary of the family: Transfer RNA (tRNA) molecules are approximately 80 nucleotides in length. Their secondary structure includes four short double-helical elements and three loops (D, anti-codon, and T loops). The record is from RNAcentral. Lineage: Bacteria; Deltaproteobacteria.